Molecule: ribosomal RNA, 207 nt
Filed under: uncultured bacterium
Lineage: Bacteria
Description: partial 16S ribosomal RNA
Rfam family: Bacterial small subunit ribosomal RNA
Source: RNAcentral
CGCGUAGGCGGCUUUGUAAGUCAGAUGUGAAAUUCCGGGGCUCAACCCCGGAGCUGCAUUUGAAACUGUAGAGCUAGAGUACAGUUAGGGUAAACGGAAUUCCACGUGUAGCGGUGAAAUGCGUAGAUAUCGGAAGGAACAUCAGUGGCGAAGGCGACUUCCUGGACCAAUACUGACGCUCAGGUGCGAAAGCGUGGGGAGCAAACA